UACAGAGGUCCCAAGCGUUGUUCGGAUUUACUGGGCGUAAAGGGUGCGUAGGCGGUCGGUUAAGUCUGGUGUGAAAUUUCGGAGCUCAACUCCGAAACUGCAUUGGAUACUAUUCGGCUAGAGGUUGGGAUGGGAGACUGGAAUUCUCGGUGUAGCAGUGAAAUGCGUAGAUAUCGAGAGGAACACCAGUGGCGAAGGCGAGUCUCUGGACCAAUCCUGACGCUGAGGCACGAAAGCCAGGGGAGCAAACGGG
RNAcentral lists this ribosomal RNA (253 nucleotides) under uncultured bacterium. Its description in RNAcentral is "partial 16S ribosomal RNA". It matches the Rfam family "Bacterial small subunit ribosomal RNA", at positions 524 to 776 of the family's 1533-position model. The record is from RNAcentral.